This 211-nucleotide long non-coding RNA is filed under the name Panax ginseng (ginseng). RNAcentral describes it as "long non-coding RNA (PGIN_LNC018581)". Lineage: Eukaryota; Viridiplantae; Streptophyta; Magnoliopsida; Apiales; Araliaceae. The record is from RNAcentral.
UUUCUCCUAACGGAGUUUCCACAGAUAGGUCAAAGUCUAAUUUCUCCGGAGUCAAGUUUAAACGUUGAGCACAAGCAGGAGAGAUAAAUGAAUGGGUAGCACCGGUAUCAAGUAAUGUAUAAACUUCGCAUGAAUUUAUGAUUAGCUUACCCGUGAUCACCUCGUUUGGGUUCCUCGCAUGUUGACCAGUCACGACAAACGCUCUUCCAGG